UACAGAGGUCUCAAGCGUUGUUCGGAUUCAUUGGGCGUAAAGGGUGCGUAGGCGGUCUGUCGCGUCGGCUGUGAAAUCCCGAGGCUCAACCUCGGGUCUGCAGUCGAUACGGGCAAACUAGAGUAUUGCAGGGGAGACUGGAAUUCCUGGUGUAGCGGUGAAAUGCGCAGAUAUCAGGAGGAACACCGGUGGCGAAGGCGGUGGUCUGGGCCGGCACUGACGCUGAGGAGCGAAAGCGUGGGGAGCGAACAGG
RNAcentral lists this ribosomal RNA (253 nucleotides) under uncultured bacterium. RNAcentral's name for it is "partial 16S ribosomal RNA". It matches the Rfam family "Bacterial small subunit ribosomal RNA", at positions 524 to 776 of the family's 1533-position model. The record is from RNAcentral.